GACGAACGCUGGCGGCGUGCUUAACACAUGCAAGUCGAACGGAAAGGCCCUGCUUUUGUGGGGUGCUCGAGUGGCGAACGGGUGAGUAACACGUGAGUAACCUGCCCUUGACUUUGGGAUAACUUCAGGAAACUGGGGCUAAUACCGGAUAGGAGCUCCUGCUGCAUGGUGGGGGUUGGAAAGUUUCGGCGGUUGUGGAUGGACUCGCGGCUUAUCAGCUUGUUGGUGGGGUAGUGGCUUACCAAGGCUUUGACGGGUAGCCGGCCUGAGAGGGUGACCGGCCACAUUGGGCCUGAGAUACGGCCCAGACUCCUACGGGAGGCAGCAGUGGGGAAUAUUGCACAAUGGGCGAAAGCCUGAUGCAGCAACGCCGCGUGCGGGAUGACGGCCUUCGGGUUGUAAACCGCUUUCGCCUGUGACGAAGCGUGAGUGACGGUAAUGGGUAAAGAAGCACCGGCUAACUACGUG
RNAcentral lists this ribosomal RNA (468 nucleotides) under uncultured bacterium. Its description in RNAcentral is "partial 16S ribosomal RNA". It matches the Rfam family "Bacterial small subunit ribosomal RNA", at positions 28 to 507 of the family's 1533-position model. The record is from RNAcentral.